CAUGAAAUAAACAUGAGAAGGUAUUUUAUUUCAACCGCGGAAAAACGUCAUUACACACAGUUUUUCAAGUUCAAGCCUACCGAUGGUAACCUAUUCUCCUGUCAACUCACCUGUCAGUCAAACUCCCUGUGGAGGGUCAGUUGUACUCAUUCCUUUUGCUUGUCCUCAAUCUGGCAACCCGUCUGAGGAUGAGGGGCAGGAGAAACAACUCUCUCCAAUAUUUUGAAUUUGGACUGCAGUACCCAUUUCAACCUCUAGCUGCCAAUAUUACAUACUGCACAGAAACAGCCGAGAAUCUAGCAUAGCACAUACUGAAAAUAUUCAACCACUCAGAACAUUAUAGCAACCACAUAGCAAUGCCCUGUCAACCAUCCACAGCAUGGUGAGUUUUGCACAGGUAAGCACCACUUUCAUUGUCUUUAUAAAAUGUGAAAAUCUAGUUUUCUGCUCUGGCGUGUAAUAAACCUGUUCCUGCUGUGUUGAGCCUGUUGGAUUGGACAGAUUUCACACAGAUUCCCUAAACCUGCAGCAGCAGCACAUCCUGACAGUAUCUUUUCCCUCCCGUCUCCUGCUUAUUUCUGUAGCUAGAAUUGAGCCAGCGAUGAGAAGAGUGAAAAAAGAGACAUGCACACACAUACACACAACAGAGAAAGCAGUGCGCCAGAGUCUGGAGAGAGAGAGAGAGAGGAAGGCUGGCUGGCAGCCUCAUUACUGAAGGAGGGAAUGUGUUGUUUCACACUGCAAGCCUCACAGAGCCAUCGGAUGACUACUGAAGCCCAGCAGAGCUGCUGAUCAACUGAGAUUUUGGAGAAACACGGAUUGAGCGAUUACACGAGGCAUGAAACAUUUCAACUUUCUAAGCUUUCAAGGACUGCAUGGAGAAACAUCGUUCCUGAAAGCACCAGAAAUUCCCUUGAUCUAAGCCCCAGAUCUGUUUGAAUCCCGCUGAUCCCGCAGCAGUCCGGCGAGAUGCGGGAGGUUCGCAAUAAUUGGAAAUGGCUUCUCUAGUUUUGGAGACACAAUCAGAUGCGACUUGCAGCUUUAAAGCGGCCGAUGUUGAGGAUCCCACGCUCACGACCGAGACUACAGCCAGAGGAGCAACUUUUCCCAUUUCUUGACACAAUGAAUGGGCAUGACAUCUCCGGCUGGUUAACCCGAGCUGCUGUAGUUUUCCACAGCACACUUGCAGCAUGUUACAAGUAAAAAUCCUGCAGCAAAAGCCAGCAGAGACAAAAACAGCCACUCCCCGGAGGAGCUCUGUACAAUACGGACAUACACAUGUACAAAUGCACAUGUACUUCAGCGUUGUCAAUGCAGCACUGACAACCUACAGCGAUCAAUACUUCUUGGCACCAGAUGCUGAGCGGUAUGAGGAGACCUAUAGUGGGUUGGGCAGGAUGACCACAAUCUUAUAUCACGAUGUGACAAAUGCUAUAUCACAC
Sinocyclocheilus rhinocerous is the source of this 1442-nucleotide long non-coding RNA. RefSeq lists it as uncharacterized. The record is from RefSeq and is a predicted model, not a curated record. The transcript is spliced from 5 exons. NCBI's taxonomy places the organism in Eukaryota, Metazoa, Chordata, Actinopteri, Cypriniformes, Cyprinidae.